UGAUCUCACAACCCUGAGAUCGUGACCUGAGCCAAAAAUCAAGAGUCACCUGCUCGAGCCACCGAGCCCCCCAGGUGCCCCUGAAUAAACGACUUUUUAUUCAUUUAAAAAGCCGCCGAGGGAGCAGCUGGGCGGCAGAAGCGGUGCCGGCACCGGGGGGAUAGCGGGCGACUAAGGCGUGGUCCCCGCUCGGGAGAAGCUCGGUUCCUGGAAUUGGCCCCCGCGCCCCCAAGCCACGCCGCGGUCAUUGGCGCUACCGACAGGCCCACGGGACAGCCAGACCCUCAGGGAAGCGUCAGGGGAAGUGGCCAGGUCCACGGGGCCCUCGGGGGAGCAGCCGUCCACAGACGGAGCGGGGCAAGGGCUCCCCGGCACAGGCCCGCCUCAGGGAGCAAGGAGAGAAGCAGCCUCUGACCCUAACCCCGGGGGACGGGAUGGAACACACAUGAGCUGCCGAGAGGCGCCAGGGUCACAGGUGCGCUGGGCGGGCUCGCAGACAAGUGACCGAGUGACCGAGUGACCAAGGCCGAGCGUCAGCGCCUCCCAACCCGCCCUUCAAACGGAUUCCAGCCCGGCUUCCCGGCCCAGGAGGCCACGGGAACUUGGGUUCUGCGCUGCGGGGCCAGGCUGGGGAGGGGAGACGAGGCCCGGGGGCACCAGCCAACAGGCCGCAGCACCCCGAUGAGCAAGUCAGGGGCAGGAAGGUGGCGGGGGGGGGGCGUCCUCACAACCUCUGGAAACCCAGGGAAAGACAUUCAAUUCUGAAUCUAGUUUUGUUCUACGUUAGUGCGUUGUUUUAUUGUUUGUUUGUUUGUUUGUUUGUUUGUUUGUUUGUUUGAACACCAGGACAUUGCUGGAGCCUGAGCUGUUGGGUCGCGGCUUUACAAGAAUCGCAUUACCUGUGCUAGAAUCCUAUUAGGGUCUCGGCGGGGCUUAAUUUAACCUCUUCGCUUUCCUCACCCGCACCUGUGAGAUCUGAUGAAGAUGAAAUAGUUGCCGCAAGGUCACGGCGAGGAAAGAGGCAACUCCCCGUUCCAUUCUCACUCGCGCCCUUUCACUCCGUGGUGUGUUCCCUCCGUUGGCCUAGUGGAGCCCCCGCGGCUGGCGCCCCCGUUAGAGCGGCCGCCGCAGGCCCCACCCCCCGCAGUGCGCGCCACCUCUCACCCCUGGUCCUUUGCUGCAGCUCCGAGGUUGGCACGACCCUGCGUAAGCUUCGGGUGCACAGUUAACAGCUGGUCACACACAUAGGAGUCUUCCCACGGUAAGAUGAGCGCAUCCUUCACCUUGCACGGCUGCCGCUUUGCACGGUCGCAGUGAGAACGUUUAAAACUUUAGUGACUCUCAAUUCUACAAGAUCAACCCCAGCGUCACCAGGUCCUACGUUGUUUCUCGUAUAACUGGGAGUUUGUACCCUUUGACCAGAGUCCCCGUCCCACCAGCCUCCACCUCUGGUAACCACCAAUCUACCCUGUUUCUGGGAGUCCGAGUUCAGAUCCUCCGAAAAGGACCCUUUUUCCUGAGGGCAAGAGCCCCAACCCCUGACUACAGGUGCUGAUGGGAGUCGAGGCGAACCCCCGCCCGAGGGCUCUCCCGACCCCCGGCUCGGCCAGCGGCGCCGUGGCCUCCAG
Long non-coding RNA from Canis lupus familiaris (dog), 1628 nucleotides. RefSeq lists it as uncharacterized. Lineage: Eukaryota; Metazoa; Chordata; Mammalia; Carnivora; Canidae. The record is from RefSeq and is a predicted model, not a curated record. The transcript has 3 exons.